Long non-coding RNA from Lineus longissimus, 2069 nucleotides. RefSeq lists it as uncharacterized. The record is from RefSeq and is a predicted model, not a curated record. NCBI's taxonomy places the organism in Eukaryota, Metazoa, Nemertea, Pilidiophora, Heteronemertea, Lineidae. The transcript is spliced from 2 exons.
AAUAUUUCUUGCAAUUUACCCUUCGCAAUAUCGUCAGGAAUACACGGAAUGGUAACUACGAAACAUUGCUGCUACGGCAGAUGUAAUAGUGACUCGAGAUAUGCAGAUAGGCCAGAUAUGGAAGGGGUUAGAUUCAUCACAUUCCCGAAACCGAUUACGAAUCCAGAAAAGUGUAAUCGGUGGGCAAGACUGUGUGGUCGUGUGGGGUUUGAUCAUACUCGUGUGAAAAAGGAUACAUACAUCUGUACAAAACAUUUCAUCGGCAGUGCAGGUCCAACAUCGGAGCAUCCAGAUCCUGUUCCUGCGCCUUCAUCUCCAGAGGUUGAGAAAAUUGGCAGGAAAAGGAGUGGUCCGAAACCCAGGGCUAUGCCAGUGAGUAAAAAGCUGAAACAAGAAGCAGCCCUUGCCUUAUUGGACCUAUCUGCAACGUCUACACGCAGUGUUUUGGAUGAAAAUGAUGACACAAACAGUUUUGAAAAUGCAACAGCCAGUUUUGAGGAUGUUGCAGCACCAACGGUGAUUACAGUAAACGUGGUGCAUGUCGCGAUACCGUGUUCACCCAUUAUGAGAGACGUCGGAACUCAAGUAUACUCUAGUCUGGGUGCUGAAAUUGAACAUAUUGUCCAAAAAAAUGAAAAAGUUUUAGAGGAAUGUAACAUUACACAACCAUCUAUUGUUACAUGUUCUAAGCCUUGCAUUGAUGGCAGAUUCUGUCAUUGGAAUCAAUUUGUGACGAUGACAAAAAAAUGAAAUUCUUUACUGGUUUGCAUUACUUUCAAUUCAUUGCCCUGUUUCAAUUUCUUGGGGAUGCAGUGAACAAUCUCAAAUAUAGAUACAGGGAUAUCGGAACAUGUUCAAGUGACAAAGGUGAGACUACUUCUAAUAAAAGUGACAGUACUGACAGCAGUAAGACUACUACUAGGUGAGGUCCAAUAGGAAAACUUCACCACAGGAGCAACUUUUCAUCAUGUUUGUUCGACUACGGAAGGGCUAUUCCUUUUUUGCAAUGAACACUUUUUUCAAGUUAUGUGAGACUAGUUUAAGGACAAUAUUCCCCACGUGGCUGCAGCUUCUACACUGCCAUGUCAAAGAUUUACGCCAUCUAAUGUUUCCUGACCGGGCUCAUAUCAAAAACAAUUUACCACAGUCAUUUCAGUCAUUCAAAAAUAUUAGGUGUGUGAUGGAUUGCACAGAAUUUUUUGUGGAAGUGCCAAGAGACCUUUCCAGGCAGGGAAAUCUGUAUUCUAAUUACAAGCAUCACCAUACUGUUAAAUGCCUCAUAGCUGUUGCUCCAAAUGGUGCUGGUUUUUUAAUCUCCGAUUUAUUUGAAGGUGCCAUGAGUGAUCAUGAUGUAUUUAUGAAGUGUGGACUCCUUGAUUUCCUAAAUCCUGGUGACUUGGUCCUUGCUGACAGAGGAUUCAGAGUCAAGGAAAUUUUGAACAACCAAAAUGUAGAACUUAACAUUCCAUCAUUUCUGCAUGGGCGAGCUAGGCUUACUCCACAAGAAAAAUUAUUAACCAGACAGCUAAAGUCAGGAUUCAUGUUGAGCGCUAUAACGAGCGUUUGAAGAAAUUCAGAUUAAUAGCAGGUACAAUACCAAUGGUGCUUGCACCUUUGGCCAACCAAGCUGUAUUUGUUGCCUGUUGCCUGGUGAACUUUCAAGUUCCCCUUGUGAUUUGAGUGAAAUCUCAGCGAACAGUGGGUGACUUCACAUUUGGUGUUAGUGUCAAUUUUGUAAAAGUGUUAGGGCUUUUAUGCAGCAACAAAGACAAUGUUUCUUAAUGACGCUGCGAUCAACACAAACGUAAGGUGUAAAGCUAAGGGUAUACAGCCUUGUUUGUGGAAAUGAUGCAUCCAGGGCUGCUGAAAAACUAUAACACUUUCCCAAAGUGAACACCAACACCAACUUUGAAGUAACCCACUGUCACUAGAAUAUACUAGUAAUGACUGGAAAAACAUGUUGUCUCUAUGAAUGAUUAAAAGUAAAUGAAGUAAUUGUAAUAAAUUCUUCAAAAAUAUUUGUAAGUUUACAUCGAAUUAUUUUGAAAAAAAUAUGUUUAUAAAACCGA